UACGUAGGGGGCAAGCGUUGUCCGGAAUCAUUGGGCGUAAAGCGCGUGUAGGCGGCACGGUCAGUCCGGUGUGAAACCUUGGGGCUCAACCCCAAGCCUGCACUGGAUACUGCCGCGCUCGAGUCCGGGAGAGGGAAGCGGAAUUCCUAGUGUAGCGGUGAAAUGCGCAGAUAUUAGGAAGAACACCGGUGGCGAAGGCGGCUUCCUGGAACGGUACUGACGCUAAGACGCGAAAGCGUGGGGAGCGAACAGG
RNAcentral lists this ribosomal RNA (253 nucleotides) under uncultured Gaiellales bacterium. RNAcentral's name for it is "partial 16S ribosomal RNA". It matches the Rfam family "Bacterial small subunit ribosomal RNA", at positions 524 to 776 of the family's 1533-position model. The record is from RNAcentral. Lineage: Bacteria; Bacillati; Actinomycetota; Thermoleophilia; Gaiellales.